UUAACACAUGCAAGUCGAGCGCCCCGCAAGGGGAGCGGCAGACGGGAGAGUAACACGUGGGAACGUACCCUUCGGUUCGGAACAACCCAGGGAAACUUGGGCUAAUACCGGAUACGUCCGUAAGGAGAAAGAUUCAUCGCCGAAGGAUCGGCCCGCGUCUGAUUAGCUAGUUGGUGGGGUAACGGCCCACCAAGGCGACGAUCAGUAGCUGGUCUGAGAGGAUGAUCAGCCUCACUGGGACUGAGACACGGCCCAGACUCCUACGGGAGGCAGCAGUGGGGAAUAUUGGACAAUGGGCGCAAGCCUGAUCCAGCCAUGCCGCGUGGGUGAUGAAGGCCCUAGGGUUGUAAAGCCCUUUCGGCGGGAAAGAUAAUGACGGUACCCGCAGAAGAAGCCCCGGCUAACUUCGUGCCAGCAGCCGCGGUAAUACGAAGGGGGCUAGCGUUGCUCGGAAUCACUGGGCGU
Molecule: ribosomal RNA, 465 nt
Filed under: uncultured bacterium
Lineage: Bacteria
Description: bacterial SSU rRNA
Rfam family: Bacterial small subunit ribosomal RNA
Source: RNAcentral